This 258-nucleotide ribosomal RNA is filed under the name uncultured bacterium. RNAcentral describes it as "partial 16S ribosomal RNA". It matches the Rfam family "Bacterial small subunit ribosomal RNA", at positions 1095 to 1353 of the family's 1533-position model. The record is from RNAcentral.
AGCCCAACCCUUGUCCCUAGUUGCCAGCGGUUCNGNCCGGGAACUCUAGGGAGACUGCCGGUGAUAAACCGGAGGAAGGUGGGGAUGACGUCAAGUCAUCAUGGCCCUUAUGGCCAGGGCCACACACGUGCUACAAUGGGCGGUACAAAGGGUCGCGAAUCCCGCGAGGGGAAGCCAAUCCCAAAAACCCGCUCGUAGUCCGGAUUGGAGUGUACAACCAGACUCCAUGAAGUCGGAAUCGCUAGUAUCGAGAUCAGC